Molecule: long non-coding RNA, 9558 nt
Filed under: Nicotiana tabacum (common tobacco)
Lineage: Eukaryota; Viridiplantae; Streptophyta; Magnoliopsida; Solanales; Solanaceae
Description: long non-coding RNA (NTAB_LNC012697)
Source: RNAcentral
UUAAUAAAUGACAGAUUUAAAAUAAUUUAAACGAAAGCAACGGUGUGCAAUUAUAACCAUAGAAAUAAAACCAAAGCCACAAGUCUACUAGUGUGUGCCAAGACCUGGUGUCACAAGUGUAUGGGCUACUAGUAGAAUAUACAGAAAGGUUACUACUCUACUGUCCGAAAUGAAAUAGACAGAACAAUAAACAAAAGAAAGACUCUAACUGCUACAAAAUGAAUUGGAAGGUAGCUCAUCGUGUAGUCUCGUAACAGGGAUCAAGUAAGCGCGCCAGACUGAUAUACAGAUGCAUCUGCCUCAGAUCCUGCACAUUAAGUGCAGAAGUGUAGCAUGAGUACAUAAACAACAUGUACCCAGUAAGUAUCCAGUCUAACCUCGAAGAAGUAAUAACGAGGGGUCAACUUUGACACUUACUAUGAGCUAACAAUAAAAUGUCGAAAUAAUAACUAAACAUGGAUUACAUAAAUAUAGCUGAAAAACUUCAUAACAGGAAAUAAUAAACAAUCCUCUCUCUAAUAGUAAAUUUCAAGUUUAUUUCCAUCAUUUAACAAUUUAUAUGUCAAGCCAAUGAAGGAAUAUCAAUCAUAAAUAGUUCCAAAGAUUCAUUAUAUGCAAUUAUGCCAAGGUUGUACGACUCGAUCCAGCAUAGAGAUAUUUAAACUGUGCACUGCAGAGGGUCAAACAACACGAACCAUAGAUGCAUCUAUCUGCUACCAAGGUGUUCGGCCCGCUCCAAAAAAGAAAAUACUAUUAAGAAACACAAAUUCCUAAUAACUGUCAAGUGUCUUAUUCACAACUUCAAGUAAGUGAAAUUUAUCCUUUUACAAUUCUUUUACCAAAUUUCAAUAUGACUUAAGCAAUUAAGUUAACAAGUAGGGUGCGAAUAUUUGUUAGUAUAGCAUGAUAUGGGUCCUAGACUACCCGGACAAUAGCAUAAUUAGUAGCUACGCAUGACUCUAGUCACCUCGUGCGUGCGUAGCCCCCACAAAUAGGAGCACAAAUUAAUCAAUUCACCUAUGUGGUCAAUUCGCUCUUACAAGGUUAGAAAGGAGACUUAUAUCAUCUCAAAGCUUACUUUCCGGCCCCAAAUUUACUCUAAGGCCUCAACUCAGUGCCGAAGUAUCCAAAACUAGUCAAAUGGUUUAUAAAUAAAUCAAUACAUGUUCAAAAUUUCAUAUUCCAACUAUUAAAGUGAUUACCCAACCCAAAAUAUAGGAUUCAUAAAAUUCACCCUUGGACCCACAUGCCCGAAUUUUGGAAAAUUUCGAAGAAAGUUGUUACCCAUAACUUCGUGAACUCAAAUAUAUAAUUUUCACUAAAUUCCAUAACAAAUCUCGUGGUUAAAUCUUAUUUUUAUCAAAACCCUAGGUUUUCACCUAAACCCAUGAUUUUAACUAAUUUACACGUUAUAAUCUAUCAAUUCAACUAUGUAUUUAACUCACAAUUGGUAGAAAUUACUUACCUCAAAGUAUUAGAUGAAAUCCCCUCUCUAAGAGCUCCAAGAAUCGCCCAACAAUGGAAUAAAUUAGCCAAAAAUGACUAAGUCCCGCAUUAAAUGAAGGAUUCUACCUUAUGUGAUUUCUGCACAUGCGAGACCGCUCCUGCAACCCUUUCUUUCGCGCUUGCAGACACUGCCGCUUCUGCGGUCACAGCCUUCGCACCUGUGCGUUCGUAGGUGCGCUAGUUUCCUUGUUCCUGCGGAUUCUGGUCAGCCUUGGCUUGUCCACUUUUGCGGGUCUUGGCUCGCACCUGCGGUUGGCCAAGCACAUGUGCGAUUAUAGCAGCCGCUAGGAGCUCAGAUUUUGUCCCAAGUUCCAACUUGGUCCGAGCCUCGUUCGAUUAACACCUGGGGCCCCCAAGACCCCGCCCAAACAUAUCCACAACUUUGGAAUCAUAAAACAAACUCGCUCAAACUUUCGGAACGUCCAAAACAACAUCAAAACUAAGAAUCACUCCCCAAACCAAUUGAAUCAAAAAUAUGAACUUUAAGUUCUUCAAUUUACUCCCAAUGCGUCGAAACGUACUUAAACUACUCGGAAUGACACCAAAUUUUGCGUGCAAGUCUUAAAUGAUAUUACGGAACUAUUCUCUAGCUCAGAAUUUUAUUUGGACCUCGAUAUCACCAAAACCUACUCCAUACUAAAUUUAAAGAACAUAAAAAACCUUCAAAGAACCAACUUUCACUAUUAGGCGCCAAAAUGCUCACGGGUCAUCCAAAACCCGAUCCGAACAUACGCCCAAGUCCGAAUUCAUCAUACGAACCAAUUGGAACCGUCAAAUCCUGAUUACAAGGUCAUUUUCUCAAAAUGGUGACCGAAGUCAAACUUAGUCUUUUUAGCCAACCUUAAGGAACCAAGUGUUCCGAUUUCGACCGGAACCCUUCCAAAUCCCGAACUAACCAUCCCCACAAGUCAUAAAAUAGUAAAAGCACGUACGGGAAGUAUUAUUUAGGUUAACGAGGUUCUAGAAAGAAAAAACGACCGGUCGGAUCGUUACAACAUAGAGGUCAAGUCAAAUCCGAGAAGUGAAAAAUAUUAUGUUUCGUGUCCCAGAACGAUAUCAAUGCCUCAAUCAGAUCAACCCUUGGCUUAAUCCUUAAAAGCCCUAUGAGACCACCUAAUACCUUGGUCACGGGACGCUGACUGACUUCCCCCACGUUAUUCAACCACAUGUGGAGUCUUAAUAGAAUCUCAUCUGUGACCUAAAAAAGGUAAAUCGUCAACAAUGCUCAUUUUGCACGUAAAUUAGGACAAAGGAUCCAAACCGCAACUGUUUUCAAAAUCACUAAGUGGCUAAAUUUUAAAAUUCAGUUUUAAUAACUCAAUGACAAAAUAGGGGUUGUUUUGCAAAUACGGCCCUUCAGUGCUUGAAGAAAGUUUUUAGGGCUGUUUCUGCCAAAUGGUGUUGAUUAUGGGGAAAAGACUAACUCGGGUUAACAUUGCGGCUAUUCUUGCAAAAAUAGCCCUCUAGUGUCCUGGGAGAACGUUUUGAGGUUCUUUAGACAAGAACAACCUAGGGUGAUGACCAUGUUUCAAAAAAUUUGCCAUAUUCCUAUUUUUUGGUUAUUUUGCAAAAAUGGGGCCGGACCUGAUGAGGGUUGCCUAGUAUCUCACAUCUGGUAAGAAUCAGACAUGCGUAGUUCGGGGGAAUAUUCAAAAUCAGGGAAAAGGUCAUUUUUUUGAAAAUUUGGACUCAUUUUGUAACAACCUUCUAAAAAAAUUCGGUAGAGUUUCAGGAUUUUUCUCUUUUAUUUUCAAAAAUGGGAAUUUUUAGGAACCGAGUAAAUUUUCUCUCUCCUAUUUUUUCUUGAUUUUCUAUCCCUAUUCUAUAAACUGAUCAACAUGAAAACCAAAACAAACAAAAAUGCAACAAAUAGCACGUAAGAUGCAUCAGGAUGAUCUUUUAUUUUGGAGGUACACCAGUCCUAGACGGACCCAACUCCGGUGUUGAGUCCCCAAAGUCAAAUGCAUGUGAUAUAAACAAGCGUACCUACUAGGGAUCCAGCAUUAGGUUUUGUUCGUCUAAGUUUAAACCUUGCGGUGUGAAUUUAUAGACAAGGCUUACUCGAGCGGACAACUCGAGCCGGGAGGGGGUGGGCAACACACUGGGAAUACAGAAACUUCACCAGCUUUGCAGCUGAUCCGAACCUUAUUAUAAAAUUAGGAUAUGGUAUCUAACAUAAAAAAAUCCAUGCGAAGCGCACACUUACCAGAUGAUUUAGAAGACUUAGAGAGAAGAAGGGUGUUGUAACAGUUUUUAUUCAGUUCAAAUAACAUCAAAGCUGAAAGAGCGACAUUUAGCACAUUAGGCCCAAACACAUAAAAUCGUACAGUUACAAGAAAGACAAGUAUAACAGUUAUUCUAAACUCGAAUUCUGAACCCUGAACCAGAGAUUCUGGGUUCGUUCUCCAGUAGAAUCGCCAGAGCUGUCACACCUUAUUUUUUUCGAAAAUAAGGAGUUUUUCCAAUUAAAGUGAUAUUAUUUGAAAAGAGAUUAUUUUAUUUUAAUUUUAAGAGUCACCACUUGGAAUUAUUUAAUUAACAAUGUUCCGAGUCACCAAUUAUUUGUGAAUCCGAAAUCAAGGAAAAGUUUGACUCUAUUUAUGAUCCGCGAAUACAUAAGCCGGGAUAAAGUGUAAGGCACCCCCGAAUUCCGUGGUUCUAGCACGGUCGCUUUACAGUUACACGUGGCUUAAUACCUGAUUAUUACAUGUUUAGACAUAUUAUGCAUUUUUACCUCUUACUGCUUUUAAUAAUAUAUUUAAAUCAUUUUUGGUAUUUUUAUGGAAUUAUUUUAAAUAAGUUACGAUGCCGUACACUUGUUGUUUUGGUACACAUUGCAAAUCGCGCAGCGUGAAAUGCACCCUCAAUUCGUAACAUGUUCAUUUUUAUUAUUAGAAGUUAGGGUCCAGUCACGCGAACGUGCACUCGAGUUUGGGUUACUUAUCAUGACUAUGCCACGGGAACUGUACCCAUAGCCACAAUAAUUUAUUAUUGAUCACGGCUAAAGCAAACUUCAAUAUUUAUAAAUUUGAUUAAUCCUAUGUUUGUGAUUGCAUAUGAAGGUCAAGAGUUUAUGGAAAUCGUGGAAGAACUCACAUUUACACUUAAGCGUGAGGCUGACUUGAACUUUCAUAAAGUCAUAGAGCACAUCUAUCAUUAUUGGCCUACUUCUCAGAGUUGCAGGAGUUUGGGUAAUUCUGAAUAUUGUUAAAUUAAACAGGCAGAAGACAAGAAAAAAAUGUUUAUUUCAUAUCUACUAAAUUAUUAUGGCUACUUAAACAAUUCGUGUAUCAAGCAGACAAGUAGAUUGAAGCUCCUUUUUGUUGUAUUGAACAAUCUAAUCAUGUAGAUUUUCCCAUUCAAAACCAUGUAAUGACAUCAGUGGGCCUAAAGACUGGCCCAAUCACAAUGUGCCCAGGUUUCAUAUAGGACUGAGAGUCCUUGGUCAUUAAGGCCUACCAACUGGGCCAUCUUGUCGCCAGGUCCAUAUUGAAAAACAUAAGGAAUUGUAACUUUUCAGAGUUUAGUCAUUUAACAAACAACAUCACUACUAAUCAUGCCAAAAACAUUCGUCUCCUAUAUAUGAUUUCAACAAGUAGUUUACUGAAAAUGUGUCCAUAUAAAUGAUUAAUAUACAAAAUGAUUGAUCCAAACACAACUAAUUAACUUUACAAAUUAACCUAUAAACUAUGAAUCUAUGUAUAUCCACCAGUGAUUUCCUCAAUGUGGAAUGGAAAUGCAGAAAAUUGUUGUUGCUAGGUCCUAUUAACUAGGAUUCCUCAUACGUGAAAUCAAAUAUUUGAUAAUCAGAUGCGUGAACAUAACAUGUUUAGCAUGAAAACUCAUACUUCAACCAUCAAUUUUCGAAUAGGCAAAAACAUCAACAAAAUAAAUCACAUUAGUAAGCAAUGCCUAAUAGGAUCACAUGCUUUAACCUAAGCAUAUUGUUUGCAUCAGAGAUAAACAUAGAAGAAUAUUCAAACAAAUUCAACAUAAAAGAAGAUUCAAACAAAUUUGGCCAUUAAAUAUGCUAGAUCUAUAGAAUUAGGCAGUAAACAACUUUAAUUUUACUCCCGAUUUCAAUUUAAAACUACAGAGGUGUUUGAACAUACCUACACAGUAGCAAACAAGUCUCAAAAUGACCAAAUAAAGGUUGAGAACAUCUACAACUGAAAUUCAGCUACUAGUUGAUAGAGAACAACAACAAACAACCAGUAAUCAAAGCUGGAUCCACUUCGAAACCCAGAAAUGCAAGAGAGAAUACAACAAUCGAAAAAGCUACAACUUAUGAACUGUUUUGGGUGCAAAGCUAACCUAGAAUUCCACUGUCAUACUCAUUCUUUUCAGAUUGUUUUAGUUUUCAGAUCUAAUAUUGUUUUUUUGAAGUUUUUGUGAGUAAAAUCUCAAUGAAAAUGUAGAAGGAAUAUGUGUAAAAAAUAUAUAGUGUAUCUGAUCAGAGAGUCUAAAAAUCUGUGUGAGAGUCAGUGCAUUUAUAAUAGAAUUUAGGGCAACAACUAGAUUUUUCUAAUUCAUUUUCACCCUUUAAACUUUCUAUUAUUUACCCUUAGAUCCCAAAUUCUGAGUUGAUUCUAUUUUUCUUUUGCAAAGACAACCCUUUUUUCCUUUUCUUAGAAGCUUAUUUUCUAACUAACUAAGAUUUUCUAAACCAAUUCCCUACAUUUCCCUUAGCUACUUCAGCAUUUACCCCUCUUCCAGAUUUUACCUCUUCUCUUGUAUUCAAUUCUCAAUCUCAUUUAAAUCAAACUCUUAAUGGGCCUGUAAUACGGAAUGAGCUAAUUUUGAAAGACCUGGGCUUAUUCCACUAAUACAAACUCAAAAACCAGGCUUGGCCUAAACCAAAUCAAAGCCUACUGCCACUUCUUGCCUAAAUACCAUUACACAAAAGUGGCAAAUACCUAAAUGAUCCACAAAUAAAAAUACUACUCGAUUAAGCAUAAAUUAAACUCUCAAGUAAUUAAACACCACUGAAUCAUCGAGCUUAUAACAAUAAUAUCCAAUUACCCAUAUAGUAUCUAAAAACUCUUCAUAGAAAUGAAAACAUGAUAACUAAACAAGGAAUUUGCAAUUAAAACAACCACUGAACCUAAAGUGACUAAACAAUUAAAUGUGCAAUUCACAGAAAGAUACAAGGGAGAGAUAUACCUAUCGAGGUUGAACAAAUCGAUGAAAGGGAAGCCCACGAGCUGGACGAAUAGGAUGGAAUAAUUGGGGAGCAACUGACCGAUCAAUGAUGUUUCGACCGAAUUCCAAUAGCCAUGAAAUGAACCAAGACUAACAUCAAUCAAUUGCUCUCGUCAAGAGCAAUUAAUUGAUGUAGGUUUUGAGUUCAGGAGGUGGAGAAGGGGAUUGGCGUUCAGAUUGGUUGUGAGUAACAACAACCCUACUCCUCUUUGUUGAAAAUGAGGAAAUUUUAGAUCAUUUUUUCUUACCAUUCUCAUCUCCCGCCUCCGGCUUCUAUGAGAUAACAGAAAAGACCACAAAGAUUUAAUGUAUUGUCGUACAUAUUUAUAUCAUCAAUGAUAAUAAAUCACUUAACAAUAAAUGAAAUAUUUCAAGCUAUAUAUAAACUUAUAGUACAUAAAGAAAUCUUUUUCAUGGUGGAACCAACUAAAAGGCAACUAAAGGUAAUCGGAAUCUGUGUAAGAGUCAGUGUAUUUAUAACAGAAUUUUCAGGGCAAUACCUAGAUUUUUUUAAUUUAUUUCCACCCUUUAAACUUUCUGUUAUUUAUCCUUAGACCCCAAAUUCUGACUUGUUUAUAUUUUUAUUUUGCAGAGACGACCCUUUUUUUCUUUUUCUAGAAGCUUCUUUCUUAACUAACUAAGAUUCCCUAAGUCAAUUCCCUACGUUGCCCUUUACUACUACAGUAUUUACCCCUCAUCCAGAUUUUACCUCUUCUCUUACAUUCAAUUCUCAAUCUCAUUUAAAUCAAACUCAGAAUGGGCCUAUAAUAUGAAAUGGGCUAAUUUUGACAGACCUGGGCCUUGUUCCAAUAAUCCAAACUCAAAACCUGACUUGACCUAAACCAAAUCAAAGCCUAUUGCACUUCCUGCCUAAAUGCCAUUAAACAAAAGUGACAAAUACCUAAAUGAUCCACAAAUAAAAUAACUACUCGAUUAAGAAAAUUAAACUCUCAAGUAAUUAAGCACUGUUGAAUCAUCGAGCUUAUAACAAUAAUAUCCAAUUACCCACAUAGUUUCGAAAAACUCUUCAAAGAAAUGAAACAAGAUAACAAAACAAGGAAUUUGCAAUUAAAACAAACUGAACCUAAAGCGACUAAAUAGUUAAAUGCGCAAUUCACAGAAAGAUACAAGGGAGAGAUAUACCUAUCGAGGUCGAAAAAACGAUGAAAGGGAAGCCCACAAGCUGGAGGAACCUGAUGGAACAAUUGGGGAGCAACCAACCGAUCAAUGAUGUCUCGACGGAAUUCCAAUAGCCGUGAAAUGAACCAAGACUAUUAUCAAUCAAUUGCUCUCAUCAAGAGCAAUUAAUUGAUGUGGGUUUCGAGUUCAAGCGGGAGGGGGGGGGGGGAUUGAGAGAUCCUCACUCGUUCAGAUUAGUUGUGAGUAACAACAACCCUACUCCUCUUUGUUGAGAAUGAUAAAAUUUUAGAUCCUUUUUUCUUAUCAUCCUCAUCUCCGGCCUCCGGCCUCUAUGAGAUAACAAAAAAGAUCAUAAAGAUUUAAUGUAUUGCAAAAUAUAUCUAUAUCAUCAAAGAUAAUAAAUCACUUUACAAUAAAACAAAAAUGAAAUAUUUCAAGCUAUAUAUAGACUUAUAGUACGUAAAGAGAUAUUCUCCACUGUUGAACCAACUAAAAGGCAACUAAAGGUAGCAAGAAUCUGUGUAAGAGUCAGUAUAUUUAUAACAAAAUUUUUAGGGCAAUACCUAAAUUUUUCUAAUUCAUUUUCACCCUUUAAAUUUUCUCUUAUUUACCCUUAGAUCCCAAAUUCUGACCUGUUUCUAUUUUAAUUUUGCAGAGACGACCCUUUUUUUCUUUUCCUAGAAGCUUCUUUCCUAACUAACUAAGAUUCCCUAAGCCAAUUUCCUACAUUUCCCUUCACUACUUCAGUAUUUACCCCUCUUCCAGAUUUUACCUCUUCUCUUACAUUGAAUUCUCAAUCUCAUUAAAUCAAACUCAGAAUGGACAUGUAAUAUGAAAUGGACUAAUUUUGAUAAACCCGGGCCUUGUUCCAUUAAACCAAACUCAAAAUCAGACUUGACCUAAUCCAAAUCAAGGCCUACUGCCACUUCUUGCCUAAAUAUCAUUAAACAAAGGUGACAAAUAUCUAAAUGAUCCAAAAAUAAAAUAACUACUCGAUUAAGUAAUUAAUCUCUCAAGUAACUAAACACCACUGAAUCAUCGAGCUUAUAACAAUAAUAUCCAAUUACCCAUAUAGUUUUGAAAAACUCUUCAAAGAAAUGAAAACAUGAUAAUUAAACAAGGAAUUUGGAAUUAAAAUAAACCGAACCUAGAUCAACUAAACAGUUAAAUGCACAAUUCACAUAAAUAUACAAGGGAGAGAUAUACCUAUCGAGGUCGAACAAAUUGAUGAAAGGGAAGCCCACAAGCUGGAGGAACAUGAUGGAACAAUUGAGGAGCAACCGACCGGUCAAUGAUAUUUUGACCUAAUUCCAAUAGCCGUGAAAUGAACCAAGACUAACAUCAAUCAAUUGCUCUUAUCUAGAGCAAUCAGUUGAUGUAGAUUUCGAGUUCAAGCGGGCCAGAAUUGAUGGGAAAAAUCACAAAGGGAGGAAUUAGGUUUUCUAUAGAUUCUUAGAUCUACUAACAGAGAAAACCUAGGGUUUUUUUCACAAAACUAAUGGUAAGAGAGGUAUGGGGGGAUGAUGGAGAUUAUGUGGUGAUAAUUUAGUGCUAAUUAGUGGUUGGCCGCCGUCGUGGGGCGAUUUUCAGCGGCAACAGAACAGUGAGAAUGAGAGAGAAGGUAUGAGACGGUCUUUAGGGUUGGGAGGGGGGGAGGAUUCAGACACUUAUAUAUGUUUGAGAGGCUAGUUCCGAUCCAUUGGAUCAAAC